RNAcentral lists this unclassified non-coding RNA (600 nucleotides) under Penicillium glandicola. RNAcentral's name for it is "sequence contains 18S rRNA gene, ITS1, 5.8S rRNA gene, ITS2, 28S rRNA gene". The stretch from base 221 to 373 matches the Rfam family "5.8S ribosomal RNA". Lineage: Eukaryota; Fungi; Ascomycota; Eurotiomycetes; Eurotiales; Aspergillaceae. The record is from RNAcentral.
AGUCGUAACAAGGUUUCCGUAGGUGAACCUGCGGAAGGAUCAUUACCGAGUGAGGGCCCUCUGGGUCCAACCUCCCACCCGUGUUUAUUUACCUUGUUGCUUCGGCGGGCCCGCCUUAACUGGCCGCCGGGGGGCUCACGCCCCCGGGCCCGCGCCCGCCGAAGACACCCUCGAACUCUGUCUGAAGAUUGUAGUCUGAGUAUAAAUAUAAAUUAUUUAAAACUUUCAACAACGGAUCUCUUGGUUCCGGCAUCGAUGAAGAACGCAGCGAAAUGCGAUACGUAAUGUGAAUUGCAAAUUCAGUGAAUCAUCGAGUCUUUGAACGCACAUUGCGCCCCCUGGUAUUCCGGGGGGCAUGCCUGUCCGAGCGUCAUUUCUGCCCUCAAGCACGGCUUGUGUGUUGGGCCCCGUCCUCCGAUUCCGGGGGACGGGCCCGAAAGGCAGCGGCGGCACCGAGUCCGGUCCUCGAGCGUAUGGGGCUUUGUCACCCGCUCUGUAGGCCCGGCCGGCGCUUGCCGAUCAACCCAAAUUUUUAUCCAGGUUGACCUCGGAUCAGGUAGGGAUACCCGCUGAACUUAAGCAUAUCAAUAAGCGGAGGAA